Molecule: ribosomal RNA, 454 nt
Filed under: uncultured bacterium
Lineage: Bacteria
Description: bacterial SSU rRNA
Rfam family: Bacterial small subunit ribosomal RNA
Source: RNAcentral
CCGAGAAUAUUCGACAAUGGACGAAAGUCUGAUCGAGCGACACCGCGUGAUGGAUGAAGACCCUCUGGGUCGUAAACAUCUUUUUAUGAGGGAGAAAGUUUAUUGAUAGUACCUCACGAAUAAGGGGUUGCUAAACUCGUGCCAGCAGCAGCGGUAAUACGAGUGCCCCAAGCGUUAUCCGGAAUCAUUGGGCGUAAAGGGUGUGUAGGUGGUAAUGUUAGUCAGCUGUUAAACCCUGGGGCUCAACCCCAGAUCUGUGGCUGAAACGGCAUAACUAGAGGAUGGCAGGGAUGUAUGGAACUCAUGGAGUAGGGGGUGAAAUCCGUUGAUAUCAUGGGGAACACCAAAAGCGAAGGCAGUACAUUGGGCCACUCCUGACACUGAAACACGAAAGCGUAGGUAGCGAAUGGGAUUAGAUACCCACGUAGUCCCUGAGCGGGCUGGCAAGGCGCAU